RNAcentral lists this ribosomal RNA (316 nucleotides) under uncultured fungus. Its description in RNAcentral is "bacterial SSU rRNA". It matches the Rfam family "Eukaryotic small subunit ribosomal RNA", at positions 39 to 352 of the family's 1831-position model. The record is from RNAcentral. Lineage: Eukaryota; Fungi.
AAAGAUUAAGCCAUGCAUGUCUAAGUAUAAACAACUUUAUACUGUAAAACUGCGAACGGCUCAUUAUAUCAGCAAUAAUUUAUUUGAUGGUUUCUUACUACAUGGAUUACAGUAGUAAUUCUCGAGCUACAUGCGUAAAGUUCCGCCUCUCACGGGAAGGGAUGUAUUUAUUAGAUAAAAAACCAAUGCGGGUUCUGCUCGCUUUUGUGUUGAAUCAUAGUAACUUAUCGGACGCCAUAGCCUUGUGCUGGGCGUAGAUCAUUCAAAUUUCUGCCCUAUCAGCUUUCGACGGUAGUGUAGUGGACUGCCGUGGCGU